This 381-nucleotide ribosomal RNA is filed under the name Bifidobacterium animalis. Its description in RNAcentral is "bacterial SSU rRNA". It matches the Rfam family "Bacterial small subunit ribosomal RNA", at positions 1122 to 1500 of the family's 1533-position model. Lineage: Bacteria; Bacillati; Actinomycetota; Actinomycetes; Bifidobacteriales; Bifidobacteriaceae. The record is from RNAcentral.
CGGGUCAUGCCGGGAACUCAUGUGGGACCGCCGGGGUCAACUCGGAGGAAGGUGGGGAUGCCGUCAGAUCAUCAUGCCCCUUACGUCCAGGGCUUCACGCAUGCUACAAUGGCCGGUACAACGCGGUGCGACACGGUGACGUGGGGCGGAUCGCUGAAAACCGGUCUCAGUUCGGAUCGCAGUCCGCAACUCGACUGCGUGAAGGCGGAGUCGCUAGUAAUCGCGGAUCAGCAACGCCGCGGUGAAUGCGUUCCCGGGCCUUGUACACACCGCCCGUCUAGUCAUGAAAGUGGGUAGCACCCGAAGCCGGUGGGCCGACCCUUGUGGGGGGAGCCGUCUAAUGUGAGACUCGUGAUUGGGACUAAGUCGUAACAAGGUAGC